GUGCCAAAAGUAUGGAGAGAAGAUGUCAGGAACGUGUGAGAACUCCCCCAGACGGUCUUUUGGAGUCACCCUGCCCUCCCAGACAAUUUUGGUGCUGGCUGCCUCCAGGAACCUGACUCUCUCAGUCUCUUACUGUUUCGCUCCGUGGGUCAAGUCUCUGCAAAGCCUUCACGCUGAGCCUUGCCUUGCAGGCAGCCUUUGUGACGCAGUCAUCGUGGCUCAGCUAACUGCAGCAGGAAGAGGCAGAUAUGGAGCUAAAAGCACAGCAGCCGGGAUUCCAGGAAAGCGGGAAGUUCUGCAGUUAGCAUCAGGAACACAGUGAGAAGGCAAUCAUCUGUAAAGCAGGAAAAGAGCCUUCCCCAGGAGCUGAAUCUGCCAGCAUCUUGAUCUUGGACUUCCCAGCCUCCAGAACUACCAGAGAGAAAUGCCUGUUGUCUGAGCCACCUUAUGAUACCCUGUUACAGCAGCCUGAGCUAAGAUGAUACUGGAGGCCCAGUUAAUCUACCUCAACAUGACCCUUUUGUAACACAGGCUAGACAAAGGCUGUGAAAACACUCAGUAUCUAGAGUUUUCUGAUGUGUGUGUCCUUCCCUAUACACUUCAUUUGCUUAUCCCCUUAUUCAUUCAACAAAGGAGUUCCUUUACUUUUCUUCUCCUUCCUUCUUUCUUUCUUUCUUCCUUCCUUCCUUCCUUUCUUUCUUUCUUCUUUCUUUUUUUUGACAGGGUUUCACCAUGUUGGCCAGGCUGAGCUUGAACU
Molecule: long non-coding RNA, 757 nt
Filed under: Pongo abelii (Sumatran orangutan)
Lineage: Eukaryota; Metazoa; Chordata; Mammalia; Primates; Hominidae
Description: lincRNA
Source: RNAcentral